GCAGGUUUGGGAGGGCGAUGCAGGAAGGCUCCAGGCUGACAUGGGGCUUCCCUUGCCCACGUCCCCUUGCAUGGGUCCGCUACUCAUUGCGCCAUGAAGGCCAGAUACCCCAGUGCCUCUGGUGUCCUCAGAGCGUCUAGCUUACAUCUGCACCUCCACGUGUAUUGUCAUUUGAAGUGGGCGAGGGGCUCUCGAUGGAAAGUCAGAUCUAGGUCCUUCCUGCUGGGUCAUGAACCAGGAAGCAGAAUGGCCACGAACCAAGUUAUUCCAUCAGGAUUUACCCAAAGGAGUUGGAAACUUAUGUCCACACAAAAAUGUGCAUGCUGGUGUCUAUGGAGGCUUUGUUCAUAAUCGCCAAAACCUGAAAGCAAUCAAGAUGUCCUUCAGCAGGUGGAGGAACUCAUAAACUGUGGUACAUUCAGACAAUGGAAUGCUGCUGCUGCUGCUGCUAAGUCGCUUCAGUCGUGUCCGACUCUGUGCGACCCCAUAGACGGUAGCCCACCAGGCUCCUCCGUCCAUGGGAUUCUCCAGACCAUGACAGGGACCCUGUUCAUCCAUCACUCGUCUGGCCAGCCCCACCUAGGAGGUGCCAGGUCCCGUGCUAAACAUGGCAGACAGAGAUGAAUAGACACAGCCACAGCCUCUCGUCUUGUUCAUUUCCACACCCUUGGCAUCAAGAGCGGUGCUUCGCAAAUAAAAGACCUUUGUUGAAGGAAUGGGUGAAAAGAAUCCCUGAAUGACCCCACAUCAGGU
Long non-coding RNA from Bos taurus (domestic cattle), 753 nucleotides. Lineage: Eukaryota; Metazoa; Chordata; Mammalia; Artiodactyla; Bovidae. The record is from Ensembl.